UGGGGAAUAUUGGACAAUGGGCGCAAGCCUGAUCCAGCCAUGCCGCGUGAGUGAUGAAGGCCCUAGGGUUGUAAAGCUCUUUCACCGGUGAAGAUAAUGACGGUAACCGGAGAAGAAGCCCCGGCUAACUUCGUGCCAGCAGCCGCGGUAAUACGAAGGGGGCUAGCGUUGUUCGGAUUUACUGGGCGUAAAGCGCACGUAGGCGGACUUUUAAGUCAGGGGUGAAAUCCCGGGGGCUCAACCCCGGAACUGCCUUUGAUACUGGAAGUCUUGAGUAUGGUAGAGGUGAGUGGAAUUCCAAGUGUAGAGGUGAAAUUCGUAGAUAUUCGGAGGAACACCAGUGGCGAAGGCGGCUCACUGGACCAUUACUGACGCUGAGGUGCGAAAGCGUGGGGAGCAAACAGGAUUAGAUACCCCUGGUAGUCCACGCCGUAAACGAUGAAUGUUAGCCGUUGGGGAGUUUACCCUUCGGUGGCGCAGCUAACGCAUUAAACAUUCCGCCUGGGGAGUACGGUCGCAAGAUU
RNAcentral lists this ribosomal RNA (524 nucleotides) under uncultured bacterium. RNAcentral describes it as "partial 16S ribosomal RNA". It matches the Rfam family "Bacterial small subunit ribosomal RNA", at positions 355 to 895 of the family's 1533-position model. The record is from RNAcentral.